AAACAAUAGGAGAUUCAGAUGCUUUCAUGGAAAUAAUGAAUCUGUGUUGUUGGUUGUCUUCAGGGUCAAAGACUUUGUGAAGUAAAUGUAGGGAAUCCUUUUACUCCGAACUCUGAGGCCACGCUGGAGAACCGAGUGCAAUCCAACUUGCCGACCUUCACUGGUGUGUUACGGAGAGACAGCGACACUUGGUGAAAGGUUGGCUCCAGUUUCUUGCAGUGACCACACCAUGGAGCAUAAAACUGUCAACCAAAGCAUAAAAUAUCAAAGAUUUCAAUGCUGCCAUGUGGACAUUUAAAUAAGCAUCCUGCUUGACUUCAGUAGUGUAAACAAUAGUUUAGUUCCUAUGCAAGAUACCUGUAAACUAUAAUAAUAUCGUCUCUUUAAAGGGACAUGGUUAGAUCUCAUUAUUUUUUUCAAAUGGCCUUUUGUUUUGAGCAAGUAUUGUAAUACUUCAA
Molecule: long non-coding RNA, 458 nt
Organism: Ylistrum balloti
Lineage: Eukaryota; Metazoa; Mollusca; Bivalvia; Pectinida; Pectinidae
Exons: 3
Source: RefSeq, a predicted model, not a curated record